This 461-nucleotide long non-coding RNA is filed under the name Taeniopygia guttata (zebra finch). Its description in RNAcentral is "lncRNA (ENSTGUG00000019765.1)". Lineage: Eukaryota; Metazoa; Chordata; Aves; Passeriformes; Estrildidae. The record is from RNAcentral.
GACAAGAAUUGGCAUUCUAACCAAUACCAUUUUUUUCUCUAAAGCAGGAGAAAAAAAGAUAUUAUCAGAAGAAUUCUUUUCUCAUCAGAUACUAUAAUUAUACCAUCUGGGCUGUUGAGAGGAUGGCAUCUAAAUAUUGCAGUUCCCUUAGACAAGAAAGACCUGAGGGACCCUGAGGUCCUCUGGGAAUGCUGCAAAUUGCAUGUGCUGAGUAUGUGAAGAAAAGGUUCCCAGAAUCUCUUCCUCUAGAAUUGCAGCAACUAUUUGAGACCAGGGUCACCCCGGGUCUUCUGGGAGAGAGAAACCUGGACCCUCCAUGUGUGUGCCUGGGAACUCUGAGCGUCUCACUGCGUGGCUGAAUUAAACAUCUGUGGAUACCAUGCAAAGGCCCUUUCUGCUUCUUUACCCUGGACUUUACUUGUAGCAGUUCAGGCUGCUACAGGUUAUGUUCUCAAAAUAUU